Molecule: ribosomal RNA, 227 nt
Filed under: Acanthamoeba genotype T11
Lineage: Eukaryota; Discosea; Longamoebia; Acanthamoebidae
Description: partial 18S ribosomal RNA
Rfam family: Eukaryotic small subunit ribosomal RNA (bases 1-179)
Source: RNAcentral
GCGAGCAUCUGCCAGGAUGUUUUCAUUAAUCAAGAACGAAAGUUAGGGGAUCGAAGACGAUCAGAUACCGUCGUAGUCUUAACCAUAAACGAUGCCGACCAGCGAUUAGGAGACGUUGAAUACAAAACACCACCAUCGGUGCGGUCGUCCUUGGCAUUUGUCGUGGCGCAAGUCACGGCAGGUGUGAGGAUGGUUUAGCCUGAUGGAUUUCGGUGAAUGACUCCCCU